GGGGGGCAGGCCUAACACAUNCAANUCNAGCGGCAGCACGGGUACUUGUACCUNGUGGCGAGCGGCGGACGGGUGAGUAAUGCCUAGGAAUCUGCCUGGUAGUGGGGGAUAACGNUCGGAAACGGACGCUAAUACCGCAUACGUCCUACGGGAGAAAGCAGGGGACCUUCGGGCCUUGCGCUAUCAGAUGAGCCUAGGUCGGAUUAGCUAGUUGGUGGGGUAAUGGCUCACCAAGGCGACGAUCCGUAACUGGUCUGAGAGGAUGAUCAGUCACACUGGAACUGAGACACGGUCCAGACUCCUACGGGAGGCAGCAGUGGGGAAUAUUGGACAAUGGGCGAAAGCCUGAUCCAGCCAUGCCGCGUGUGUGAAGAAGGUCUUCGGAUUGUAAAGCACUUUAAGUUGGGAGGAAGGGCAGUUACCUAAUACGUAUCUGUUUUGACGNACCGACAGAAUAAGNCCGCAC
This 466-nucleotide ribosomal RNA is filed under the name uncultured bacterium. RNAcentral's name for it is "bacterial SSU rRNA". It matches the Rfam family "Bacterial small subunit ribosomal RNA", at positions 38 to 497 of the family's 1533-position model. The record is from RNAcentral.